This 402-nucleotide unclassified non-coding RNA is filed under the name uncultured fungus. RNAcentral describes it as "partial contains small subunit ribosomal RNA, internal transcribed spacer 1, and 5.8S ribosomal RNA". The stretch from base 1 to 73 matches the Rfam family "Eukaryotic small subunit ribosomal RNA", at positions 1759 to 1831 of the family's 1831-position model. Lineage: Eukaryota; Fungi. The record is from RNAcentral.
CCAAACUUGGUCAUUUAGAGGAAGUAAAAGUCGUAACAAGGUUUCCGUAGGUGAACCUGCGGAAGGAUCAUUAACAAAAUCCAAUUUUAAACAUGUUGAAACGUUUGUAAAGACCUCUAUCUAUUCUCUUAGUGUGAGAUCCUUUACAAAACUUCCCUCAUUGUCAUUAGAUUCACCACCAUUAUUCAUUAUCAUCACAAUCCAAGAGGCCGACCGAUUUAAAAAAGUUGGUUCUCAAGGCACAGUUGUGUGGUUGUUGGUGGUGUGGGUGGGUCAAAUGACAACGGGGGAAAUUUUUUACACAAACUAUAUUAAAUUGACAAGCUUAAAAAUUAGAAUAUCUAAAAUCAAACAACUUUUAACAAUGGAUCUCUUGGCUCUUGCAUCGAUGAAGAACGCAGC